RNAcentral lists this ribosomal RNA (428 nucleotides) under uncultured bacterium. RNAcentral's name for it is "bacterial SSU rRNA". It matches the Rfam family "Bacterial small subunit ribosomal RNA", at positions 354 to 796 of the family's 1533-position model. The record is from RNAcentral.
GUGGGGAAUAUUGGGCAAUGGAGGCAACUCUGACCCAGCAACGCCGCGUGAGCGAUGAAGGUCUUCGGAUUGUAAAGCUCUUUAAGUGGGGACGAAGAAAGUGACUGUACCCACAGAAUAAGUCCCGGCUAACUACGUGCCAGCAGCCGCGGUAAUACGUAGGGGACAAGCGUUAUCCGGAAUGACUGGGCGUAAAGGGUGCGUAGGUGGUUUGGCAAGUUGGUAGCGUAAUUCCGGGGCUCAACUUCGGAACUACUACCAAAACUGCCGGGCUUGAGUGCAGGAGGGGCAUAUGGAAUUCCUAGUGUAGCGGUGGAAUGCGUAGAUAUUAGGAGGAACACCAGUGGCGAAGGCGAUAUGCUGGACUGUAACUGACACUGAGGCACGAAAGCGUGGGGAGCAAACAGGAUUAGAAACCCUAGUAGUCC